GAGAAAUAUGAUAUUAUUAAACAAAGAUGUUUAAAAACUGUAAUUUAGGAUCAGAAUAACUAUACAUCUGAAAUGGUUUGAUAUCAAUGAUUAAAAUGUAAUAUAAACUCAUUUGAAAUAGAACACCCAUAUCUAAGAUAGAGUGCGGGCUAGCUUGGCAACUAAACUCGCAUACCUAGGUAAAACUUUCUCAAACUAUGUGUACAACCAACCAUGCCUAUAUCAAAAUCCAAAAACUUUAGACGCUAAACUUAAUAGAGGAUCUAAAGCGCUUGGGGCGAACUUCCUUGCAAAGAGAUAGCACACAGUUGUUGGUUGAUUAUUAUAGGUGCAUGACUGCCCUUCAAACAUCUUCUUGAAGAACUGCUCUGUAAUGUCAGCCUUUCCAAAUGUUGCUGGGUGUGCACCUCCCCUAGACCAAUCUGUCCAGGUAAGCGUCCUAUUCGCCAAGAGAGGUGGAGCUUGGAUGCUCAACAUCGUAGGGAAGUAGUGCUCAUCCACAUAACAUGCUGGCUGGCAAAAGUCUCUGAACUUAGGGUAGUAUGUGGUGUCCUCGAUUAUAUUAACUGCAAGUCUUCGAUUCACUUCAAACCAUUGAGACCCUUUACGCCACUGUGCAAGUGUAACCUCAGGCUGCAUGUUCCAAUUAUAUCGGCCUCUACCAUAUGGACCAUCUUCAUCAAAUGAUCCCAUAAAACUGUACCGUGAUCUUGAUAUGUAGCGAUAGAUAAUGCUAAAAUUGUGGAGAGGAAUGCAUGCCUCAGACACUAGGAUGAACCAUUCAUUGGAAAUAUCAAGCAGUGCAUUUGCUAGGAGUCUCCUCUCAGCAUCACACAUACUCAUCCUUCCCCACUCUACGACCUGACUUGGGAUUUGUCUCUUGUAGAACACUGAUGAUGGCGUAUAGUUUCCAGCAUAAGAAGGCAAUGAAUGAACAUAGAUCGAAUAAAGCCCCUCAUGGCCCUUGAAAAACCUCUCCCAGAGAGGUGCCAAUGGCAAUGGUCCCUUUGUCAAGAACAUGAAGGCAAUCUUCGGAACUCUCCUAUAUGGAUAUUCCUUUAUUCGAGGAACAAAUGAGGCACGCCAAAACAACUCUGUAUCAUUCAUCUUAUGCAACAGGUUUGAUGGAGGCCUAAUCCAGUUCUCUAAAUCAUUUGGUGCUUCAAAGCAAGGGAGAAAUAUAUUGGACCUUCCUACACCAGUUACAUUUUGGAUUCCAAAAUAUCGAAACGUAUACAUACUAAUUAUGGAAACCCCAAGACCCAGAACCAAAAACAACAAGAAAAAUUGAAGGAGUCUCAAUGGCAGAGGCCUAUUCUGAAUCAAUCUAAUAGUAAUACCAGGCUCCUUGCCAUCCUCCAACGCCAUUAUCAACUCUGAUAUUGUAUUUUCAAAAGAAUUUAAUUCCAAAACACUCUAUAUGCAUAGGAAAAAAAAAUUCCCUAAUGACAGAAGGGUCUCCA
This 1463-nucleotide unclassified non-coding RNA is filed under the name Hevea brasiliensis (rubber tree). Lineage: Eukaryota; Viridiplantae; Streptophyta; Magnoliopsida; Malpighiales; Euphorbiaceae. The record is from RNAcentral.